GGAAAACUCAAUAGCGACCCUGAUGCCGUGAUCCUUAGAUUGUUUGACCCAGAAGAAGAUCCGAAUUUAUUGGCAUACCCUCCACCAAGCGAGACAGAGGCGUUCCCAGCUGGAGUCGACGUUGAUGAAGCAAAGGGAUCUUUAACUCCGCCCUUGACUCCGCCGGUCCUCUUCAUCGCACGUCCGGCGGCGCGUAGCAUCCCUCUUCCGGCGGCGCCUAACACCCCUCUGCCGGCGGCGCGUAGCAUCCCGCUGCCGGCUGCGCGUAGCAUCCCUCUUCCUCUAUCUAACAUGAGACAGUUGAACUUGCGUUAUUCCGACAGGUUUCGUAAGUUUUACGUUAACUCGGUGAACAGUUUUUUUUCUUUUGGUCUACCGGUUCGGAUCAAUUAAACAGUUGUUGUUGUAAUGAAUGGCUCUGUUUUGAGUUUGCUUGUGUCUUAGGUUUCUUCGUACAGUUUGAUGAUUUCCAGGAGACAGAUCAGGUUAUAUAUACACAAUGUUCUUUAAGGAUUUUCUCAGAAUAUUUUGACUUUCCUUGAUUUUCUUUGCUUUGUUUUGCUUGAUCCUUCUUCUCCACGACAACGCUUACCAUUUCUCUGUUUUCUAUUGCAUUCAAUUCAAUUAAUACUCAUAAAAGUAGUUUCCCAUAGUAUAAUUGCAUUAACAGAAAAAAAUUAACACAGAAUUAAAAUUAAUAUUGUUUGAAAUCUGAAGUUUUAUGCAUAAAAGUUGGGAAUUUGAAUAUUGUACUCAACAGCAGGAAAACACGAAAACCAAUUUGAAAUCCAGAAGACAUUUCGUAAGGGAAAGGGAAAACCAACAUUGAAGACUUUUUCUCUGCUUUUUACUCGAGGUAACUCUCUAUAAUGCUUGUUCUCUACGUCUUUGGUUACUUGCUAGUGAAUUAAUUGGUUAGAAUAUGAAUGCUAGGGAACAAUCCGGUUUACAGUUUUGGUUUAUCAAUCCGGAAACAGCACAUUGAACCGCAUUGUUUUUGUAGUCACGGUUCAGAACAUACCAUCUCUUAGUGCGACGAGCCAUGUGGUCAUACAGUUUGGUUGUUACUCAAAAAGGAAAAAGAAGCUAGGCAGACCAAACAUAAGUUGGACGAACAAGACUUCUCGAUAUAGACGUCACAACUUACAAACAAGGCAAAGAAAGUACAGCAAAAGGUUUACAAUUUACCACAAAGAGAAUAACACAACAAAACAUGGUACCAUUUGACAAGAGAAACACACUUGCACAUUAUUUAUAACAAAAAGAAAAAAAAACUGAUGAUAUAUGCUUCCCCUUUUAUUACCCACCCUGAUCAAAUUCUAAACACCUUAUUCUAACUUUGAAACUAUUUAAGAGUUCUAUCGCGAGCUUUAUUAUCUUCUUCAACACUUCCGUGGCCUUAACCACGGUGCUGUCAAAUACCCAUUUUAUGAAAUCUGUUGGUGUGUUAUUCUUCCGUGGAGUGUCAUCUGAGCUCUCAUCACCUGAACUCUCAUCAUCUGAACUCUCCUCGUCUGUUAAUAUAGAGAAAGACAGAACAAGCCAAUGAGAACUUUCUCAAACAAAAGGCUUUAAAUUAAUACUAAUACCUUGAUUAAUGCCAUUGUAGUACAAAUCCUUAAUCUCUUGCACCACCUCGUUGUUCCUCACUGCCUUCCACACUGCUUUGUCAGAUGACAAUGAUAACACCAUUCUCUGCACAAAACGUUAUUCAGGUACACAUUGUGUUUCUAUUUAGGGUUUAUGAAUACUUAACAAAAUAAGACACAGAAACUUGAGCUUAGUGAAUCAAGAAAACAUAAUAAAAAAAAAGAUCACCUGGACGGAUGGCUCGGUUCGUAGUAGGUCAAAAGCAUUGUAAACGUGAUCAUAAGCAUGAGGCUGUAAGAUUCUUGAAUGACAUAGUUCCAUUGAAGGCUCCACCCAGUCCAACUCCGUCCCAAACGAAGGAACUUGAUGAACCAUUCCUGUGGGCAUGGGACUCUGGUUUCCACCACCAUCGAAUACCCUUUAAAACAAGAAUCAACAGUUACGCAUAUUCCCAUAAGCAAGAAAGCAGGUUUUGAAGAUUAAUAAUAAUAAACAAAGACAAUGAUGCAGUUGAACUAGCAAACAACUUUUCAAAGUAGUUUAAGUUCAGGUACUAGGAAUGAUUGGUUAAAUUGAUACUAAUUCCGGAAACAAACAAAACGAAAUAGACUUGGAUAGAGCUUCCAUCUUAUUUUAAUUCAUCAAAUCAAAGACAAUUCAAUCACACUCAGAGGAAAGAAAUAGGGGAAAAAAAAGAAGUUAACUUUGAAAAUAAUCCAUCAAAGCCAAGACAAUUCUCGUGAGUAUUAAAAUAUCUAUCCACCACUUAAAGCUCAUCCACAUGUCUGAGAUUUUUUUUUUUUUCUUUUUGAACACAAUUUUAUGAGAUUAAUUGUCAAUUCUAAUCAUUGAUACAAGUUUCAAAACUCAAAUAGUCUCAUCCAUAUAACCAAACACAUUACUUUCAAGUGUGUAGAAAAAUUAAGAGACGGAAGAGAAAAAAAAUGAUUACUGCUUGAGAGCAGAAACAGCAUCUUCAACUUCAUCAACAGAAGGAACAGAGCCAAAAACAGAAUCAUCAUCUUCUUCUUCUUCGUCGGUUCCUUCCACCGUAACCCACUCAAAGUCUUCAUAAGCGCCGUAACUGUUAAACGAAAAAGCGCCACCGCUCCAUGAUCUGGAGGUUGCAGCCACCGGAAAACUCAAUAGCGACCCUGAUGCCGUGAUCCUUAGAUUGUUUGACCCAGAAGAAGAUCCGAAUUUAUUGGCAUACCCUCCACCAAGCGAGACAGAGGCGUUCCCAGCUGGAGUCGACGUUGAUGAAGCAAAGGGAUCUUUAACUCCGCCCUUGACUCCGCCGGUCCUCUUCAUCGCACGUCCGGCGGCGCGUAGCAUCCCUCUUCCGGCGGCGCCUAACAACCCUCUGCCGGCGGCGCGUAGCAUCCCGCUGCCGGCUGCGCGUAGCAUCCCUCUUCCUCUAUCUAACAUGAGACAGUUGAACUUGCGUUAUUCCGACAGGUUUCGUAAGUUUUACGUUAACUCGGUGAACAGUUUUUUUUCUUUUGGUCUACCGGUUCGGAUCAAUUAAACAGUUGUUGUUGUAAUGAAUGGCUCUGUUUUGAGUUUGCUUGUGUCUUAGGUUUCUUCGUACAGUUUGAUGAUUUCCAGGAGACAGAUCAGGUUAUAUAUACACAAUGUUCUUUAAGGAUUUUCUCAGAAUAUUUUGACUUUCCUUGAUUUUCUUUGCUUUGUUUUGCUUGAUCCUUCUUCUCCACGACAACGCUUACCAUUUCUCUGUUUUCUAUUGCAUUCAAUUCAAUUAAUACUCAUAAAAGUAGUUUCCCAUAGUAUAAUUGCAUUAACAGAAAAAAAUUAACACAGAAUUAAAAUUAAUAUUGUUUGAAAUCUGAAGUUUUAUGCAUAAAAGUUGGGAAUUUGAAUAUUGUACUCAACAGCAGGAAAACACGAAAACCAAUUUGAAAUCCAGAAGACAUUUCGUAAGGGAAAGGGAAAACCAACAUUGAAGACUUUUUCUCUGCUUUUUACUCGAGGUAACUCUCUACAAUGCUUGUUCUUUACGUCUUUGGUUACUUGCGAGUGAAUUAAUUGGUUAGAAUACGAAUCCUAGGGAACAACCCGGUUUCCAGUUCUGGUUUAACAAUCCGGAAACAGCACAUUGAACCGCAUUAUUUUUGUAGUCACGGUUCAGAACACACCAUCUCUUAGUGCGACGAGCCAUGUGGUCAUACUGUUUAGUACUAACUCAAAAAAGGAAAAAGAAGCUAGGCAGACCAAACAUAAGUUGGACGAACAAGACUUCUCCAUAUAGACGUUACAACUUACAAACAAGGCAAACAAAGUACAUCAAAAGGUUUACAAUAUACCACAAAGAGAAUAACACAACAAAACAUGGUACCAUUUGACAAGAGAAACACACUUGCACAUUAUUUAUAAAAAAAAAAAAAAAAAAAAAACUGAUGAUAUUGGCUUCCCCUUUUUAUUACCCAACCUGAUCAAAUUUAAACACCUUAUUCCUCACGAACUAGACUCCUCGACAUCGACAUUACUAUGGCGUGAUUUAUGUAGUAUUGUGGAAAGUGAUUUAUGUAGUAUUGUGAUGGGUUCCACGGGUACGGUCACGGUCAUGCUCCCCACCUGUAUGUUGUUGUCCAUAGUACUGAGCUCUAUCUUUAAUAUCCUGAGCUUUGCUUCCCAGCUUCAUCCUUGCACUGUCCAGCUUAUCUGACCCCUGUGGGUGCUCUCCCGUUGCGUACCUAUUCAUCACACACACAUACAUUAAAAAGAGAACGUUUAUGUUCAUUUAGCCAAAACUUAUACUGUAAUUUGGCAACUCCAAAUUUUUUGAUCCAAAGAUAGUGGUCGGAUACAUAUAAGCACACAUGAACACUUUAGAUUUUAUUCAUUAAUAUUUAAUUUAUGUAUAUAAGCUCUAAUGCAUACAUGCACACAUAAACACUUACGAUUUUUAUUCAUUAGAUGUUUAUAUGUAUAUAUGCUUUAAGUUUUAUUGUCCUCUCAUGGCAUAUAUGAUUAUUGGUAAAUAUCAUCCUUUUUUUGGUAAAAUUGUUAAGAUUGAUACCAAGAUUGUGGCAAGCCACUUAUUACCUUAAGAUUUAUGUUUAUGUUAAAUAUCAUCUUUCAGUUAAGACCUUUUGGUAACAUGCAGAUAUACAUAAAACAAAAAUUAAAAAUUUAUAUCUAUGAUAAAAAAUUUGCUUACUUAUAGAUCCAGGAGAAGACGGUUAUAGCUGCAAUGCCAAACCCACCAGAGGAGAGAAAGCCAGUGAUGAGAAGUGCUACGGUGAUGAGAGCCGGCACGAGGAUUGGGCUAAAGAUAACAAGCAGAGGAGUGGCAACAGUCAAAGCAAUGACUGUUCCGACAAGGGUGAGACUGGAGAGGACAAGAAGGGACCCUCCAGCGGUGACUGCGGUAGCAGCUUUAGCAAUCUGCCUAGUCUUGGAGUAGUCUUGGCUGGAGGUCUGGUAAUCUGAUCGUCCGUAAGGAUACUGGUCUCGGUCUCGGCCCAACAAGGGGUACUGGUCACGGCUGGUGAUAUCGUGAUGGGUUCUAGCAGUAUCCGCCAUUAUGCUAUUGUUGAAGAGAUAGAUGAGUUUAUGUUUUGGAGUAGCUAUGAUUGUUGAAUUGAUUAGAUAUAUGAAGGGAAGGGAAGGGGAAAGAGAGUCAUGUGUCAAUGGCGUCAUCAUGCAAUAGUAGCCACGUGUUGGUGGCGUCACCAUGCAGACGCUGCAUGUGUAAACGAGAGGGGUCUACUUGAGGACACGUUCGUGUCUUUGUCUCGUUCCUGUGAAUGUGGCGUUGGCAAUGAACCGAACGUAAAGUAAAAAAAAACGGACCAUUGGGCUGGUUAUUUUGGUGGGUUCAGGGCUUUCAAGGCCUUUCCAUGAGUUUCUUCUUAACAACAAAAAGUCAAACAUCGAACGUAAACCCAAGACUAUUUUUGAGCAUACCAUAAAGUUGCAUAUUACAUUUAACCUGUUCUUUUGGUGAACGCCACAAUCAGCGGCUGCGUCUUAAAAUUUAAACCAUCACCACCGCAAAACACAGCACAACACAACACUCAUGAAACAACGCCAGCUUGCUUUUCUUGACGCUGCGGCUGAUCGCGAUGACUAAAACAAACGCAUAAUAUUUCAGCGUCAGCUGCUUCCCAUAUUUCGUACAUCCGGCUGUUUAUUAGCGUCCAUUUUAAUCUUCCGUGCCGUUGAAUUUGCCUUCGUCUGCACUAUAAUUUUUAGUCGCUGCCGCAACUAGCGGCGUUCACCAAAAGAACAGAACUAUUGAGUACAAUAACAAGGAAGAACUAUAUCAAGAUACCAUAUCAAGAUUCCCAGCAAAGAGAUCUUGAAGAAGAUGAGAUGGAAGAAAAUUUGUUACGAAUGUAUAAAAUUUCUCAUUAAUUAAAAUUGUACAGUAUGUUCAGUAUAUAUACUCUAAUACAAUCUCGCUAACAUAAGCUGAUACACCUUUGCUUGUUGUUCGUUUCACCUUGGAAACCAGUGAACUCACUCAUCAAAGUCCCUGAAAUUUCAACUAUUCCAGUUUGGGUAAACCUCAAAAUGUCCCGGAUUGUUGCUACUCAAGAUUAGGCCUCAGUCACGUUGUAUCAGGAGUUGGUGAGCCUAUGCAAACGCACAAACCUCGCCUUGAUCCGAAUACUUUGGGAGAAGCAAAGUUACUAGUUGAAAUAGAACUUGACAAACCCUUCCCGAAGCAAAUUGCCUUGGAUUACAAACAAGGUAAUAUAUUUCUGGUGGAUGUUGAAUACACUUGGAUUCCGAGUAUGUGUAGCAGAUGUCGACAGUUAGGGCAUAAAGAAAAGAGAUGCCUCCUGCCAGCUCCCCAAACGUGUGUGGAUAUGGAUACAUGCUUUACUGUGGAUAUGUCAAAUGGAGCACCAGAGAUUGAUACUGAAAAGGAACAAGAUCAGAUCAAUGUUGUAUCAGAUGAAGAGAUGGUACAAGUUGAAAACUCAGAAACGGAAACACAAGAUGGUGUUGAGCCAAAGGAUCAUUUAAUGCCACCAAGCUGCCCCACACACUCUCCGGUAACAAUAGCCACAUGCUCCAACUCUCAGUCGACUUUACCUCCAUCAGCAGGUUUUUUGUCUCUUCGGAUAGCUACUUCUCAAAAGGAUAGCUCUACUUUUUUCUAUCAUUCAUCUUCGGAUGCCAAAUCUACUUUAGCCUCUACACUAGCAGGUUCGUCAUCUGCUCACACUUCUCUACAGAUUAUGGACGAUGUUCCAUCAGAUAUUAUCAUUAAUGAGGGUAUUACACACUCAAGAAAUGAUCUUUUAACCAUGACCUUUAUUUCAACCGAGUCCAACCAAGAGGUUGGUGGUAUGGAAAGUGAUUUUCAUAUUACCGAAAAAAUGGAUGAAUUUGGAAGUGUGACAAGAAGGGGUAGGUUGAUCAAGCCUACACAAAAGUACCAAGGAAUGGAAUGGAUGACAAUGCGUGGAAGAGGGAAACGAGGCCGCAUGGUCGAGGUUCCUAAAUCAAGUGCACAAGUAUCCUUUUUAGUUUGGUCAAACUAAAGAGUAUUAUUACUAAGUUCUUGGUUUAAUAGCUCUUUCAUUGCUUACUUUAUGUAUCCAACUUUCUCAAACUAUGUGAUCUAACAAAUCACAUCUUGUAACUUGUCUUUUUAAAUUGAAUGCCCUUUUUCAAAAAAAAAACAUAAGCUUUAUAUGUACACCACUUAUACACACAUGUUGCUAACCUACACCAGUGAGCUGAUACACCUUUGAUAGAACAUGGCCUGAAGAAUAAUCAGCAUAUGAAUAAUAAUAAUAUUAUAACGGUGACAUUUUCCAACUCUACAAUGGAACAGCUUCAGUGAGUUGUCUCAUCCAAUCGUAACUUCCAGAAAAAGAAAUGUAACAAACUGUCUAAUAUAGGAAAAAUAAAUGCUUUGAAACUAAGAAAGAUCAGAAGGACAGAAGAGAAAAAAAAUGAUUACUGCUUGAGAGCAGAAACAGCAUCUUCAACUUCAUCAACAGAAGGAACAGAGCCAAAAACAGAAUCAUCAUCUUCUUCUUCUUCGUCGGUUCCUUCCACCGUAACCCACUCAAAGUCUUCAUAAGCGCCGUAACUGUUAAACGAAAAAGCGCCACCGCUCCAUGAUCUGGAGGUUGCAGCCACCGGAAAACUCAAUAGCGACCCUGAUGCCGUGAUCCUUAGAUUGUUUGACCCAGAAGAAGAUCCGAAUUUAUUGGCAUACCCUCCACCAAGCGAGACAGAGGCGUUCCCAGC
This 7827-nucleotide long non-coding RNA is filed under the name Brassica napus (rape). RNAcentral describes it as "long non-coding RNA (BNAP_LNC013505)". The record is from RNAcentral. Lineage: Eukaryota; Viridiplantae; Streptophyta; Magnoliopsida; Brassicales; Brassicaceae.